This 1735-nucleotide long non-coding RNA is filed under the name Sus scrofa (pig). RNAcentral describes it as "lncRNA (ENSSSCG00005044459.1)". The record is from RNAcentral. Lineage: Eukaryota; Metazoa; Chordata; Mammalia; Artiodactyla; Suidae.
AGAUUCGAAAAACUUAGCCAAACCGCCCUAGGUAUGGGGCCGCAGGCAGCAGCAGAGGAGUCUGAUAGGUAAGAAGGGUCAAUUGAGAGUUCCUCCCUGCUGGGCUCAGGAGGACUCAGACUGACCCAGUGAUGGCCCACAUUGAACUGGAGAAUCUUGGACCAGAUUUUGGAGGGCUUUGAUUCUGCACAUGCUGGAUGAGGUGUCAGAAAAAUAUGACUUACCACUAGCAAAAAUAUCCCUUCACUUUCUUGAGGAGGAGGCAAAAGGCAAAACACAGAAAGGGGGUGAGUGAGGAUACUGAGUCUCAGAAAGGUUAAGUGAGUUGCCCGAACUUACAGUACUACUAAGUGGAGAAGCCGACUUUUGGAUCUCAUGGACCGCACAUCUAUUCCAGGUGUGGACGCUUAGCCAAUAAGCUAUAAUGCCUCCCAGGAAAGGAUGUGCUUUGAGGUGACCCUUGAACAUGGGUAGAAUUGGGAUAAUCAGAGAUAAGGAAGGACAAUGUGGAGUUCCUGUCCUGGCUGGAGGAAACGAAUCUGACUAGUAUCCAUAAGGACACAGGUUCAAUCCCUGGCCUUGAUCAGAGGGUUAAGGAUACAGCAUUGCCAUGAGCUGUGGUGUAGGUCGCAGACACUGCUUGGAUCCCACGUUGCUUUGGCUAUGGGGUAGGCUGGAAGCUGCAGCUCUGAUUCGACACCUAGCUUGGGAACCUUCAUAUGCCAUGAGUUCAGCCCUAAAAAGCAGGGAAAAAAAAAAAAAAGUUACAAUGUAUGUAUGAAGGCAGGAGUGUCAAAAAGAAAUAUAAAACUGGAAGUGUUCAUACCAGGAGUUGAAAUACAUUUUUUUAAAAGUCUUUUUAGGGCCACAUCCUCGGCAUACAGAGGUUCCCAGGCUAGGGGUCUAAUUGGAGCUGUAGUCUCUGGCCUAUGCCACAACCACACCAACAACAGAUCCUCAACCCACUGAGCGAAGCCAGGGAUUGAACCUGCAACCUCAUGGUUCCUAGUAGGAUUCGUUUCUGCUGCACCACAACGGGAACUCCAGGAGUUGAAAUACAUUAAAAUAUGUGCACAUUUGGGAGAGGGUUGAAGGAGUUUUAAAAAAUACUGAAAAGUACAUAGAAGAAAAUAAUUCACCCUUGUUUUCAUCUUGCCUAUUUACAUUGUUUUGUUUUCAAAUUAAAACUACUUAAAAACUUAUACAUGCUCAUUAUAAGGAAUAUAAACAGUAUAGCAGGUACAACAAUAAAAGCUUUUAAAAGCUCCCCAAAUCCUAUCUAAAAAUUGUUACUACUAAUAUUAGGGAAAAUAUUAUUAGAUACAUUUUCUUUGAAUUUAUACAGGGAGGAGGAUGGAUGGACAGAUGGAAAAUGAUGUCUCAGUAUAGUUUUCAUUUGUAUUUUUAUUAGGGAGGUACAGAAUCUUCUCAUAUGUUUAAAAGUCAUCUGUACUUCAAUAUCUGUAUUAUUUAUAUUUCUUGCCCAAUUUUCUAUUGAGGUUGCUUAUCUCAUUUAUUUGUAGGAGGUCUUUUUAUACUAAGUAAAUUAGCUCUUUAUUAUAUGGGUUGGAAAUGAACUCAUUUAAUAAUUGGCCAGAUUUAAUUUUUAAAUUGUUUCUUUCAAAAAGGAUUUAUGGGUACCUUAUUGCUUGACUUUAAUAUUCAAGAAUGUUUAUUUCCAUUAUGUCUGAAAAUUUCUUUAAAAAAUUAAUUUUUGUGAUUAAAAUAUAUACAA